GUAGGGGGUAGGCUGGCGUGGCUCUAGUUCCAGGGGUAUGGAGCCUCUGGCUCGGGGACAGACUGUCAGGUGCUUGCGGAGCCGAAUCUUAUUCUAAGAACUCAGGCACUCAGGUAUCCACCAUGGUGUUGGGUCCUGAACAGAAGAGGCCAGAUGAAGAUGCUUCUGGAGACCACGGGGACUCUGCCAGUCUUGCGGCCAUCAACCCUGCCUACAGUAACUCCUCUCUUCCACAGUCCCCCGGGGGGCACUCAGAGGAGCCUUUCACCACCUACUUUGAUGAGAAGAUCGCCAUUCCUGAGGAGGAGUACUCUUGUUUUAGCUUUCGUAAACUCUGGGCUUUCACGGGACCGGGAUUUCUUAUGAGCAUCGCCUACCUGGAUCCAGGAAACAUUGAAUCUGAUUUGCAGUCUGGAGCAGUGGCUGGAUUUAAGUUGCUCUGGGUUCUUCUGAUGGCCACCAUCGUGGGACUCCUGCUCCAGCGCCUUGCAGCUAGACUGGGCGUGGUCACUGGACUGCAUCUUGCUGAAGUGUGUCACCGUCAGUAUCCCAGGGUUCCACGAAUUAUCCUGUGGCUGAUGGUGGAGUUGGCUAUCGUUGGCUCAGAUAUGCAAGAAGUUAUUGGCUCCGCUAUUGCCAUCAAUCUCCUCUCUGUAGGAAGGGUCCCACUGUGGGGUGGAGUUCUUAUCACCAUUGCAGAUACCUUUGUAUUUCUCUUUUUGGACAAAUAUGGCUUGCGGAAGCUAGAAGCAUUUUUUGGUUUUCUCAUCACUGUUAUGGCCCUCACAUUUGGAUAUGAGUAUGUUACAGUGAAACCCAGCCAGACCCAGGUCCUCAAAGGCAUGUUCCUGCCAUCCUGUUCAGGCUGUCAAACCUCACAGAUCGAGCAGGCCGUGGGCAUCGUGGGUGCUGUUAUCAUGCCACACAACAUGUACCUGCAUUCUGCUUUAGUCAAGUCCAGACAGGUAGACCGAGCCAAUAAGGAGGAAGUUCGGGAAGCCAAUAAGUACUUUUUCAUUGAGUCCUGCAUUGCUCUUUUUGUUUCCUUUAUCAUCAACGUCUUUGUCGUCUCAGUCUUUGCUGAAGCAUUUUUUGAGAAAACCAACGAGCAGGUGGUUGAAGUCUGUAGAAAUAGCAGCAGUCCCCAUACUCAUCUUUUUCCUGACGAUAACUCAACACUGGCUGUGGACAUCUACAAAGGGGGUGUUGUGCUGGGGUGUUACUUCGGGCCUGCUGCACUCUACAUCUGGGCCGUGGGGAUCCUGGCUGCAGGACAGAGCUCCACCAUGACAGGAACCUACUCUGGCCAGUUUGUCAUGGAGGGAUUCCUGAACCUAAAGUGGUCACGCUUUGCCCGCGUGAUUCUGACCCGCUCUAUUGCCAUCAUCCCCACUCUGCUUGUUGCUGUCUUCCAAGAUGUAGAGCAUCUGACAGGGAUGAAUGACUUCCUGAAUGUUCUUCAGAGCUUACAACUUCCCUUUGCUCUCAUACCCAUCCUCACGUUUACGAGCUUGCGGCCAGUAAUGAAUGAAUUUGCCAAUGGAAUAGGCUGGAGGAUUGCAGGCGGUAUCUUGGUCCUUAUCGUCUGUUCCAUCAACAUGUACUUUGUCGUGGUUUAUGUCCAGGAACUAGGGCAUGUGGCAUUGUAUGUGGUGGCUGCUGUGAUCAGCAUAGCUUAUCUGAGCUUUGUGUUUUACUUGGGUUGGCAAUGUUUGAUUGCACUGGGCAUGUCCUUCCUGGACUGUGGGCACACGUACCCACGUCUGGGAUUGACAGUUCAGCCUGAACUCUACCUUCUGAACACCGUGGAUGCUGACUCACUUGUGUCUAGAUGACUGACAGCCUGAGAGAUUCUAUAAGACCCACUUUCUCUUAGUCCUUUUGUGCCAAGUGUCCUGUUAACAUAUCUCUGUUAGUUCAGUGCAUGUGGGAUCUUAGCUCCCCAACCAGGGAUUGAACCCUCGCCCCCUGCAGUGGAAGUGUGGAGUCUUAACCUCUGGAUCGCCAGGGAAAUCCCAAUAUAUUCAAUCUUAAGAUUAACCUAGAUGCAUAUACUCACUCAGUUGCUGGGGUUUAACACUGUGGAGUCAAUUUUUAAAAGGAUGCUCUGACAGUGUAUACCCAGAAUGUUAGAAAAAUGCAAUUAAAUAAUUGUUACUGAGCAGCUGCUGCUACCUACCUGUGUGUUGGCUUAAUAUAAAAGGCAGUGAGAGCAUAUCCAGGCACAUGAAAUAGUUUAAUUCGUCAGUGAGGCAGAGGUUACAGCAGAAGAUGAAAAUAGCCUUCUCAGUUUUAAACAUUAUGAUAUUAAGCCACCAAACCUUUGCCCCAGAAGUAUUGUGCAAAUUCAGGUACUGUAUUUUAUCUAUUUAUAAGGUCCUCCCGCAACGGCCUCCCAUCUUUACCCAGGCUAAUGUGGGUAAAUGGGCAUCCUGCAUACUUAACUUUUCUCCAUACAAGAUUUUACAUUUUAAUUUAAAGAUAAUUUGUGAGCUCUCAGGCAUAAUACUCUUUUUUUUUUUUUUUUUUGAUGUUGGGGGUAGGAGUUUAUUAAUUAAUUUAUUUUUGCUGUGUUGGGUCUUCGUUUCUGUGCCAGGGCUUUCUCCAGUUGUGGCAAGCGGGGGCCACUCUUCAUCGCGGUGUG
RNA transcript from Physeter macrocephalus (sperm whale), 2644 nucleotides. It is a transcript of the gene named solute carrier family 11 member 2, with no coding region annotated. The transcript is spliced from 18 exons. NCBI's taxonomy places the organism in Eukaryota, Metazoa, Chordata, Mammalia, Artiodactyla, Physeteridae. The record is from RefSeq and is a predicted model, not a curated record.